AUUGAACGCUGGCGGCAGGCCUAACACAUGCAAGUCGAACGAGUGGCGGACGGGUGAGUAAUGUCUGGGAAACUGCCUGAUGGAGGGGGAUAACUACUGGAAACGGUAGCUAAUACCGCAUACCAUCAGAUGUGCCCAGAUGGGAUUAGCUUGUUGGGGGGGUAACGGCUCACCAAGGCGACGAUCCCUAGCUGGUCUGAGAGGAUGACCGGCAACACGGGAACUGGGACACGGUCAAGACUCCUACGGGAGGCAGAAGUGGGGAAUAUGGCACAAUGGGCGCGAGCCUGAUGCAGACAUGCCGCGUGUAUGAAGAAGGCCUUCGGGUUGUAAAGUACUUUAAGCGGGGAGGCGUGACCCGCAGAAGAAGCAACGGCGAACUCCGUGCCAGCAGCCGCGGUAAUU
Molecule: ribosomal RNA, 405 nt
Filed under: uncultured bacterium
Lineage: Bacteria
Description: partial 16S ribosomal RNA
Rfam family: Bacterial small subunit ribosomal RNA
Source: RNAcentral